AGAACCGGCCUUAAACCAAGUGCGGGAUGCCAAGUGACGCCGAUGAUCGAAGAGGCCCCAACCCUGCCAUCUUUACACGCUUCCCCUUUCGAACCGACCGCAUACUCCCGUGCCCGAGUUCGGAUCCUCUACGGUGCGUCGCCAGGAAGAACUGUGCUUGCUCGAUGUCUCCGCUCUCCCUGUCUCUCUCCUGCCUCGCGAUGGCUCGAAUCCUCUCCCAAACCCUUAUCCGGCAGUCCCAAACACUAAUCCACGAUCCGGCCGGAGCGCGCCUUCUCGUGCCGCCGGCGGUCCACCUCGAGGGCCGCCGCGGCCGGGCGAGCCGGCCGGAGAAAGCCCAGCUCGUGGAGGUGGACCUGGAGACGGAGGCAGCCGGGCCGGACGCGGAGUUACUUGGGAUGCGCCGCCUCGAGGACGCCAUCCAUGGGAUUGUUGUUCGCAGAUCCGCCCCCGACUGGCUCCCCUUCAUCCCGGGUUCCUCCUACUGGGUGCCGCCGCGGAAGCGGCCCUACGGCGUCGUGGAGCUUAUCGGCAGGCUUGCGAACCCCAUGACGGAGGAGGAGACCCUCUCCCUCGCGAGCGUCCGUGGUUGGCCCUCGUCCACCUAUUUCGUGGAAGGUGAAGUUCCAACAUCUCAGAUCCCUUUGUUAUAUGGUUUGUUAUUGUUUUGUUGUAGGUACUUGACUCAUUGCUUUAUGGAUUAUAGGUGUAUCUCCACAUCCUGUGAAGAAUAGCCCAGAGAAGGCUGCUGCACAGUCUGAUGAUGAAGAAAGCUGACUGGUAUCUGAUUGACAGAAGCAGGGUUGAACCAUCUAUCUCUAACGUGCAGGCUAUGCAAGAAUGUGGGUAUUGGAUGGUGCCAAACCAUCCAGAACCUCAAUGCAAGUUGUACAUGUAGGCAGGGGAAGCUGGCGCUGCAUGGAAUGCCCAUGAAUUCCACAACUCCCCUUCACUUCAUUGCUUCAUAAAGAUCAAUGAUGUAAUUUAACUAUUUUAAUGUUCUCCGAGUGUAAUGUAAUAAAUUAUCAGAUUUUUCUGUAUUUGUCUUUGUGAUAUAAAUUGUGGUUUGCAUGUGAGAAGCAUGCAGGUGUUGGAUUCA
This is a non-coding RNA of Phoenix dactylifera (date palm), 1099 nucleotides long. The record is from RefSeq and is a predicted model, not a curated record. NCBI's taxonomy places the organism in Eukaryota, Viridiplantae, Streptophyta, Magnoliopsida, Arecales, Arecaceae.